ACGGUGCUGAAGUGACAAAUGCCCUGCUUCCAGGAAAAGCCUCUAAGCAUCAGGUAACAUCAAAUCGUACCCCAAACCGACACAGGUGGUCAGGUAGAGAAUACCAAGGCGCUUGAGAGAACUCGGGUGAAGGAACUAGGCAAAAUGGUGCCGUAACUUCGGGAGAAGGCACGCUGACAUGUAGGUGAAGCCCCUGCGGGUGGAGCUGAAGUCAGUCGAAGAUACCAGCUGGCUGCAACUGUUUAUUAAAAACACAGCACUGUGCAAACACGAAAGUGGACGUAUACGGUGUGACGCCUGCCCGGUGCCGGAAGGUUAAUUGAUGGGGUUAUCGCAAGAGAAGCUCCUGAUCGAAGCCCCGGUAAACGGCGGCCGUAACUAUAACGGUCCUAAGGUAGCGAAAUUCCUUGUCGGGUAAGUUCCGACCUGCACGAAUGGCGUAAUGAUGGCCAGGCUGUCUCCACCCGAGACUCAGUGAAAUUGAACUCGCUGUGAAGAUGCAGUGUACCCGCGGCAAGACGGAAAGACCCCGUGAACCUUUACUACAGCUUGACACUGAACAUUGAGCCUUGAUGUGUAGGAUAGGUGGGAGGCUUUGAAGCGUGGACGCCAGUCUGCGUGGAGCCAACCUUGAAAUACCACCCUUUAAUGUUUGAUGUUCUAACCUGGCGCCCUGAUCGGGCGUGGGGACAGUGUCUGGUGGGUAGUUUGACUGGGGCGGUCUCCUCCCAAAGUGUAACGGAGGAGCACGAAGGUCAGCUAAUCCUGGUCGGACAUCAGGAGGUUAGUGCAAUGGCAUAAGCUGGCUUGACUGCGAGAGUGACGGCUCGAGCAGGUGCGAAAGCAGGUCAUAGUGAUCCGGUGGUUCUGUAUGGAAGGGCCAUCGCUCAACGGAUAAAAGGUACUCCGGGGAUAACAGGCUGAUACCGCCCAAGAGUUCAUAUCGACGGCGGUGUUUGGCACCUCGAUGUCGGCUCAUCACAUCCUGGGGCUGAAGUAGGUCCCAAGGGUAUGGCUGUUCGCCAUUUAAAGUGGUACGCGAGCUGGGUUUAGAACGUCGUGAGACAGUUCGGUCCCUAUCUGCCGUGGGCGCUGGAGAAUUGAGGGGGGCUGCUCCCAGUACGAGAGGACCGGAGUGGACGCAUCACUGGUGUUCGGGUUGUCAUGCCAAUGGCACUGCCCGGUAGCUAAAUGCGGAAGAGAUAAGUGCUGAAAGCAUCUAAGCACGAAACUUGCCCCGAGAUGAGUUCUCCCUGAGACUAUAAGUCUCCUGAAGGAACGUUGAAGACGACGACGUUGAUAGGCCGGGUGUGUAAGCGCAGCGAUGCGUUGAGCUAACCGGUACUAAUGAACCGUGAGGCUUAACCUU
Molecule: ribosomal RNA, 1369 nt
Filed under: Cronobacter sakazakii
Lineage: Bacteria; Pseudomonadati; Pseudomonadota; Gammaproteobacteria; Enterobacterales; Enterobacteriaceae
Description: partial 23S ribosomal RNA
Rfam family: Bacterial large subunit ribosomal RNA
Source: RNAcentral